This 619-nucleotide ribosomal RNA is filed under the name Enterobacter kobei. RNAcentral's name for it is "bacterial SSU rRNA". It matches the Rfam family "Bacterial small subunit ribosomal RNA", at positions 104 to 719 of the family's 1533-position model. Lineage: Bacteria; Pseudomonadati; Pseudomonadota; Gammaproteobacteria; Enterobacterales; Enterobacteriaceae. The record is from RNAcentral.
GGGUGAGUAAUGUCUGGGAAACUGCCUGAUGGAGGGGGAUAACUACUGGAAACGGUAGCUAAUACCGCAUAACGUCGCAAGACCAAAGAGGGGGACCUUCGGGCCUCUUGCCAUCAGAUGUGCCCAGAUGGGAUUAGCUAGUAGGUGGGGUAACGGCUCACCUAGGCGACGAUCCCUAGCUGGUCUGAGAGGAUGACCAGCCACACUGGAACUGAGACACGGUCCAGACUCCUACGGGAGGCAGCAGUGGGGAAUAUUGCACAAUGGGCGCAAGCCUGAUGCAGCCAUGCCGCGUGUAUGAAGAAGGCCUUCGGGUUGUAAAGUACUUUCAGCGGGGAGGAAGGUGUUGUGGUUAAUAACCACAGCAAUUGACGUUACCCGCAGAAGAAGCACCGGCUAACUCCGUGCCAGCAGCCGCGGUAAUACGGAGGGUGCAAGCGUUAAUCGGAAUUACUGGGCGUAAAGCGCACGCAGGCGGUCUGUCAAGUCGGAUGUGAAAUCCCCGGGCUCAACCUGGGAACUGCAUUCGAAACUGGCAGGCUAGAGUCUUGUAGAGGGGGGUAGAAUUCCAGGUGUAGCGGUGAAAUGCGUAGAGAUCUGGAGGAAUACCGGUGGCGAA